GUUUAAGUGUGUCCUGUAAAUAGAAUAUUUUCAGCCCUUUACCUGCUGUCAGACAGCUCUUUACGACGGUGAACUGAAGCUGUUAUCUCUGCUCUCUUCAAGGCCACCACUC
Molecule: long non-coding RNA, 112 nt
Organism: Etheostoma spectabile (orangethroat darter)
Lineage: Eukaryota; Metazoa; Chordata; Actinopteri; Perciformes; Percidae
Exons: 3
Source: RefSeq, a predicted model, not a curated record